CCUACGGGAGGCAGCAGUGGGGAAUAUUGGGCAAUGGGCGCAAGCCUGACCCAGCAACGCCGCGUGAAGGAAGAAGGCUUUCGGGUUGUAAACUUCUUUUCUCAGGGACGAAGCAAGUGACGGUACCUGAGGAAUAAGCCACGGCUAACUACGUGCCAGCAGCCGCGGGAAUACGUAGGUGGCAAGCGUUAUCCGGAUUUACUGGGUGUAAAGGGCGUGUAGGCGGGACUGGAAGUCAGAUGUGAAAACCACGGGCUCAACCUGUGGCCUGCAUUUGAAACUGUAGUUCUUGAGUACUGGGGAGGCAGGCGGAAUUCCGGGUGUAGCGGUGAAAUGCGUAGAUAUUAGGAGGAACACCAAGGGCGAAGGCAGUCUGCUGGGCAGCAACUGACGCUGAGGCGCGAAAGCGUGGGGAGCAAACAGGAUUAGAUACCCGGGUAGUC
This 443-nucleotide ribosomal RNA is filed under the name uncultured bacterium. Its description in RNAcentral is "partial 16S ribosomal RNA". It matches the Rfam family "Bacterial small subunit ribosomal RNA", at positions 338 to 795 of the family's 1533-position model. The record is from RNAcentral.